UACGUAGGGACCAAGCGUUGUUCGGAUUUACUGGGCGUAAAGGGCGCGUAGGCGGCAAUUCAAGUCAUCUGUGAAAUCUCCGGGCUUAACUCGGAACGGUCAGAUGAUACUGCUUUGCUAGAGUGCGGAAGGGGCAAUCGGAAUUCUUGGUGUAGCGGUGAAAUGCGUAGAUAUCAAGAGGAACACCUGAGGUGAAGACGGGUUGCUGGGCCGACACUGACGCUGAGUGCGCGAAAGCCAGGGAAGCAAACGGG
This 254-nucleotide ribosomal RNA is filed under the name uncultured bacterium. RNAcentral's name for it is "partial 16S ribosomal RNA". It matches the Rfam family "Bacterial small subunit ribosomal RNA", at positions 524 to 776 of the family's 1533-position model. The record is from RNAcentral.